CUUGUUGGCACCGGAAGUCAGCCACUUCCGGAUCUCGUAUCGCUCUCUACUACCUGGACUCUUCUCCAGCCUUUAUGUGGUGUGGGCUCCGGGACGGACCAAGGGCUGACCCCGCUGGAGAGAGAGCUCCAACCUCUGAGAAGUCUGCCAAGGUGAACACGAUGGCUCCUGUGCUCCUGACCUCCAGGGAUCACCAAGUACGUGACGCUUUCCUCUUUCCUGAAAUAACACCUUGGCUCUUUUCCACCUCCUCUAACCCAGUAAACUUAGUCUGUCAAAGAAUCAUAGAUUUAGUUCAG
This 299-nucleotide long non-coding RNA is filed under the name Vombatus ursinus (common wombat). Its description in RNAcentral is "lncRNA (ENSVURG00010014429.1)". The record is from RNAcentral. Lineage: Eukaryota; Metazoa; Chordata; Mammalia; Diprotodontia; Vombatidae.